This is a long non-coding RNA of Ostrinia nubilalis (European corn borer), 488 nucleotides long. RefSeq lists it as uncharacterized. The record is from RefSeq and is a predicted model, not a curated record. The transcript is spliced from 2 exons. Lineage: Eukaryota; Metazoa; Arthropoda; Insecta; Lepidoptera; Crambidae.
GUCAUAUUGUUUUCAAAGUGUAUUGUAAAAUAAGGCAUAAUUCAAAGUCAAUCUUUGAUUUUAAAGCGCGUCGUUGAGUUGACAGUGUAUUUCAUGCAUUGGUGCAAAGGAAUGGUGAAAAUGUUAUGACCAUGUAAAGAAAAUUGAAAAAGAUUUCAUCAAGCAAGUUUCAGUAAUUGAAAUGCUGAAAAAGCGAUUUAUAUUAUAUUAAUACCUCUUCAACUUGAUCAUCUAUUUGAAGAACAAGAAAUGCAAGUGGAGUUCUUAGAAUCGUUUUCUAGUUCUGAAUGAAGUGAUAAGUUAUAAGUAUGAUACUUAAUAAAAUUAUUUAGGUACAGUAAUAUACGGUUUACUUAUUUUUCAAGACAUGUUCCUAUGUUAAAAACCCGAUGUAUAACAACAUUCUUCAUACACAUACCUAAAAUGUAUAGGUAGGCAUUCGUACUUCAUGUUCAUUAAUAUUAGUCAUAAAUAAAAAUUAAACAGUA